Molecule: ribosomal RNA, 492 nt
Filed under: uncultured bacterium
Lineage: Bacteria
Description: partial 16S ribosomal RNA
Rfam family: Bacterial small subunit ribosomal RNA
Source: RNAcentral
AGUGAACGCUGGCGGUAGGCCUAACACAUGCAAGUCGAACGGCAGCACAGUAAGAGCUUGCUCUUACGGGUGGCGAGUGGCGGACGGGUGAGGAAUACAUCGGAAUCUACUUUUUCGUGGGGGAUAACGUAGGGAAACUUACGCUAAUACCGCAUCCGACCUACGGGUGAAAGCAGGGGAUCUUCGGACCUUGUGCGAUUGAAUGAGCCGAUGUCGGAUUGGCUAGUUGGCGGGGUAAAGGCCCACCAAGGGGACGAUCGGUUGCUGGUCUGAGAGGAUGAUCAGCCACACUGGAACUGAGACACGGUCCAUACUCCUACGGGAGGCAGCAGUGGGGAAUAUUGGACAAUGGGCGCAAGCCUGAUCCAGCCAUACCGCGUGGGUGAAGAAGGCCUUCGGGUUGUAAAGCCCUUUUGUUGGGAAAGAAAAGCAGCAGGUUAAUACCCCGCUGUUCUGACGGUACCCAAAGAAUAAGCACCGGCUAACUUCGUG